RNAcentral lists this ribosomal RNA (253 nucleotides) under uncultured bacterium. Its description in RNAcentral is "partial 16S ribosomal RNA". It matches the Rfam family "Bacterial small subunit ribosomal RNA", at positions 524 to 776 of the family's 1533-position model. The record is from RNAcentral.
UACGGAGGGUGCAAGCGUUAUCCGGAUUCACUGGGUUUAAAGGGUGCGUAGGUGGUUUUGUAAGUCAGUGGUGAAAGCCCGGAGCUCAACUCCGGAACUGCCAUUGAUACUGCUUAACUUGAAUCAAGUAGAGGUGGAUGGAAUAAUACAUGUAGCGGUGAAAUGCUUAGAUAUGUAUUAGAACACCGAUUGCGAAGGCAGUUUAUUAUGCUUGUAUUGACACUGAGGCACGAAAGCGUGGGGAUCAAACAGG